AGACGGGACCCCGCACAAGCAGCGGAGCGUGUGGUUUAAUUCGAUGCUACACGAAGAACCUUACCAGGGUUUGACAUGCAAGUGGUAGGAAUCCGAAAGGUGACCGACCCUUCGGGGAGCUUGCACAGGUGCUGCAUGGCUGUCGUCAGCUCGUGUCGUGAGAUGUUCGGUUAAGUCCGCUAACGAGCGCAACCCUCGUCGUGUGCUAUACGUGUCACACGAUACUGCCGGUAUCAAGCCGGAGGAAGGUGGGGAUGAUGUCAAGUCAGCAUGGCCUUUAUAUCCUGGGCUACACACACGCUACAGUGGCAGAUACAAUAGGUCGCGAAACCGCGAGGUGGAGCCAAUCCUCAAAGUCUGUCUCAGUUCAGAUUGUAGGCUGCAACUCGCCUGCAUGAAGCCGGAGUUGCUAGUAAACGCAGGUCAGCUAUACUGCGUUGAAUACGUUCCCGGGGUUU
RNAcentral lists this ribosomal RNA (458 nucleotides) under uncultured Leptolinea sp. RNAcentral's name for it is "bacterial SSU rRNA". It matches the Rfam family "Bacterial small subunit ribosomal RNA", at positions 912 to 1382 of the family's 1533-position model. Lineage: Bacteria; Bacillati; Chloroflexota; Anaerolineae; Anaerolineales; Anaerolineaceae. The record is from RNAcentral.